UUGGAGGGCAAGUCUGGUGCCAGCAGCCGCGGUAAUUCCAGCUCCAAUAGCGUAUAUUAAAGUUGUUGCAGUUAAAAAGCUCGUAGUUGAAUUUCGGGAUCAAUAUGCCGGUCAUGCCUUGGUAUGCACUGGUAUCUUUGAUUUCUCCCUUCUGACGAACUUUGAUGUCAUUAAUUUGGUGUCAUAGGGAAUCAGGACUGUUACUUUGAAAAAAUUAGAGUGUUUAAAGCAGGCUCACGCUUGAAUACAUUAGCAUGGAAUAAUGAAAUAGGACGUUUGAUUCUAUUUUGUUGGUUUCUAGGAUCACCGUAAUGAUUAAUAGGGAUAGUUGGGGGCAUUAGUAUUCAAUUGUCAGAGGUGAAAUUCUUGGAUUUAUUGAAGACUAACUACUGCGAAAGCAUUUGCCAAGGAUGUUUUCAUUAAUCAAGAACGAAAGUUAGGGGAUCGAAGACGAUCAGAUACCGUCGUAGUCUUAACCAUAAACUAUGCCGACUAGGGAUCGGAUGAUGUUAAUUUUUUAAUGACUCAUUCGGCGCCUUACGGGAAAC
RNAcentral lists this ribosomal RNA (548 nucleotides) under uncultured Glomeromycotina. RNAcentral's name for it is "SSU rRNA". It matches the Rfam family "Eukaryotic small subunit ribosomal RNA", at positions 548 to 1098 of the family's 1831-position model. Lineage: Eukaryota; Fungi; Glomeromycota. The record is from RNAcentral.